Podarcis lilfordi (Lilford's wall lizard) is the source of this 68-nucleotide non-coding RNA. The record is from the annotation of a GenBank genome assembly. Lineage: Eukaryota; Metazoa; Chordata; Lepidosauria; Squamata; Lacertidae.
ACCAGCUCGGUUAGUAGAGCAUGAGAUUCUUAAUCUCAGGGCUGUGGGUUCGAGCCCCACAUUGGGCA